Sphaeramia orbicularis (orbiculate cardinalfish) is the source of this 632-nucleotide non-coding RNA. NCBI's taxonomy places the organism in Eukaryota, Metazoa, Chordata, Actinopteri, Kurtiformes, Apogonidae. The record is from the annotation of a RefSeq genome assembly.
UUCGGACCAGGCACCAAGCUGACUGUGACAAGCUCCAGCGUCCCUCCUCCUGUCCUGACAGUCUUCCCUCCGUCCGCUGCUGAGCUCCAGUCCAACAAAGCCACUCUGGUCUGUCUGUCCAGUCAGUCUGUGGCUUUUGCACAUGUGACCUGGUUGGCUGCUGGGAGUCCGCUGAGCACUGGGAUCUCUACCAGCACCGCUGUUCAGCAACCAGACCAGACUUUCCAAAUCAGCAGCUACCUGUCCAUCCAGACGUCAGACUGGAACACGGAUCAGGUUUACACAUGUCAAGUGUCUGUGGGCUCCCAGACUUCCGAGAAAAACAUCAACAAGUCAGCGUGUCCCACUGAGCAACAGUAGAGGAGCACAAUGACCAUCUGAAACCUGCGUCUGCACCGUCUGUGCUCUGUGCUCUGUACAAGGUUUACAUGAUACACAACAUGUGUCUGCAUGUUUGGAACAAAUGCUGGAACAGUUUCAUUUAGAUGUUGUAUCAGCUUUGCAAUCGCUACAUUUUCAAUCCAAUAAAAUCUCUGUGAUCAAAAAAUGUUUUGAGUUUCUAUUUGAUAAAGUGAAUAAAUGGACUCCAUCUCAUUUCCUAAAAUGUAAAUAAUCCAAUAAAAGAUGAAUUA